GCAGUGUACCCGCGGCAAGACGGAAAGACCCCGUGAACCUUUACUAUAGCUUGACACUGAACAUUGAGCCUUGAUGUGUAGGAUAGGUGGGAGGCUUUGAAGCGUGGACGCCAGUCUGCGUGGAGCCGACCUUGAAAUACCACCCUUUAAUGUUUGAUGUUCUAACGUGGACCCGUAAUCCGGGUUGCGGACAGUGUCUGGUGGGUAGUUUGACUGGGGCGGUCUCCUCCUAAAGAGUAACGGAGGAGCACGAAGGUUGGCUAAUCCUGGUCGGACAUCAGGAGGUUAGUGCAAUGGCAUAAGCCAGCUUGACUGCGAGCGUGACGGCGCGAGCAGGUGCGAAAGCAGGUCAUAGUGAUCCGGUGGUUCUGAAUGGAAGGGCCAUCGCUCAACGGAUAAAAGGUACUCCGGGGAUAACAGGCUGAUACCGCCCAAGAGUUCAUAUCGACGGCGGUGUUUGGCACCUCGAUGUCGGCUCAUCACAUCCUGGGGCUGAAGUAGGUCCCAAGGGUAUGGCUGUUCGCCAUUUAAAGUGGUACGCGAGCUGGGUUUAGAACGUCGUGAGACAGUUCGGUCCCUAUCUGCCGUGGGCGCUGGAGAACUGAGGGGGGCUGCUCCUAGUACGAGAGGACCGGAGUGGACGCAUCACUGGUGUUCGGGUUGUCAUGCCAAUGGCACUGCCCGGUAGCUAAAUGCGGAAGAGAUAAGUGCUGAAAGCAUCUAAGCACGAAACUUGCCCCGAGAUGAGUUCUCCCUGAGACUUAGAGUCUCCUGAAGGAACGUUGAAGACGACGACGUUGAUAGGCCGGGUGUGUAAGCGCAGCGAUGCGUUGAGCUAACCGGUACUAAUGAACCGUGAGGCUUAACCUUACA
Molecule: ribosomal RNA, 873 nt
Filed under: Salmonella enterica
Lineage: Bacteria; Pseudomonadati; Pseudomonadota; Gammaproteobacteria; Enterobacterales; Enterobacteriaceae
Description: partial 23S ribosomal RNA
Rfam family: Bacterial large subunit ribosomal RNA
Source: RNAcentral